GACGAACGCUGGCGGCGUGCUUAACACAUGCAAGUCGAACGGAGAAGCGCCUUCCUUUUUGGUGGGAGGGGAUGAGUGGCGAACGGGUGAGUAACAGGUGAGUAAACUGCCCACUUCUGCAGGAUAACCGCAUGAAGGAGUGGCUAAUACGGGAUAUACUGGGUCUGUCGCAUGAUGGGUCUGGGACGGAUAUUGUUUCGGUGGGGGAUGGGCUCGCGGCGUAUCAGCUUGUUGGUGGGGUGAUGGCCUACCAAGGCGGUGAGGGGUAGCCGUCCUGAGAGGGUGGACGGCCACACUGCGGCUGAGACACGGCCCAGACUCCUACGGGCGGCAGCAGUGGGGAAUAUGGCACAAUGGGCGCAAGCCUGAUGCAGCGACGCCGCGUGAGGGAUGGAGGCCGUCGGGUUGUGAACCUCUUUCGCCAGUGAAGCAGGCCUACCUCGUUUGUGCGUGGGUUGACGGUAGCUGGAUAAGAAGCGCCGGCUAACUACGUG
Molecule: ribosomal RNA, 494 nt
Filed under: uncultured bacterium
Lineage: Bacteria
Description: partial 16S ribosomal RNA
Rfam family: Bacterial small subunit ribosomal RNA
Source: RNAcentral